GAGCAUGCGGCUUAAUUUCGACGCAACGCGAAGAACCUUACCAAGGCUUGACAUAUACAGGAAUAUGGCAGAGAUGUCAUAGCCGCAAGGUCUGUAUACAGGUGGUGCAUGGUUGUCGUCAGCUCGUGUCGUGAGAUGUUGGGUUAAGUCCCGCAACGAGCGCAACCCUCGUUCUGUGUUGCCAGCAUUUAGUUGGGGACUCACAGGAGACUGCCGGGGUUAACUCGGAGGAAGGUGGGGAUGACGUCAAAUCAUCAUGCCCCUUAUGUCUUGGGCUGCACGCAUGCUACAAUGGCUGGUACAAACGGCUGCAAUACCGCAAGGUGGAGCGAAUCCGAGAAAGCCAGUCUCAGUUCGGAUUGGGGUCUGCAACUCGACCCCAUGAAGUCGGAGUUGCUAGUAAUCGUAGAUCAGCAACGCUACGGUGAAUACGUUCCCGGGGCUUGUACACACCGCCCGUCACGUCACGAAAGUCGGUAACACC
RNAcentral lists this ribosomal RNA (484 nucleotides) under uncultured Actinomycetes bacterium. RNAcentral describes it as "bacterial SSU rRNA". It matches the Rfam family "Bacterial small subunit ribosomal RNA", at positions 935 to 1421 of the family's 1533-position model. The record is from RNAcentral. Lineage: Bacteria; Bacillati; Actinomycetota; Actinomycetes.